GACGAACGCUGGCGGCGUGCUUAACACAUGCAAGUCGAACGGAAAGGCCCUGCUUUUGUGGGGUGCUCGAGUGGCUAACGGGUGAGUAACACGUGAGUAACCUGCCCUUGACUUUGGGAUAACUUCAGGAAACUGGGGCUAAUACCGGAUAGGAGCUCCUGCUGCAUGGUGGGGGUUGGAAAGUUUCGGCGGUUGGGGAUGGACUCGCGGCUUAUCAGCUUGUUGGUGGGGUAGUGGCUUACCAAGGCUUUGACGGGUAGCCGGCCUGAGAGGGUGAACGGCCACAUUGGGACUGAGAUACGGACCAGACUCGUACGGGACGCAGCUGUGGCGAAUAUUGCACAAUGGGCGGAAGCCUGAUGCAGCAACGCCGCGUGCGGGAUGACGGCCUUCGGGUUGUAAACCGCUUUAGCCUGUGACGAAGCGUGAGUGACGGUAAUGGGUAAAGAAGCACCGGCUAACUACGUG
This 468-nucleotide ribosomal RNA is filed under the name uncultured bacterium. RNAcentral's name for it is "partial 16S ribosomal RNA". It matches the Rfam family "Bacterial small subunit ribosomal RNA", at positions 28 to 507 of the family's 1533-position model. The record is from RNAcentral.